Molecule: transfer RNA, 85 nt
Filed under: Thermaerobacter sp.
Lineage: Bacteria; Bacillati; Bacillota; Clostridia; Eubacteriales; Clostridiales Family XVII. Incertae Sedis
Description: tRNA-Leu
Rfam family: tRNA
About the family: Transfer RNA (tRNA) molecules are approximately 80 nucleotides in length. Their secondary structure includes four short double-helical elements and three loops (D, anti-codon, and T loops). Further hydrogen bonds mediate the characteristic L-shaped molecular structure. tRNAs have two regions of fundamental functional importance: the anti-codon, which is responsible for specific mRNA codon recognition, and the 3' end, to which the tRNAs corresponding amino acid is attached (by aminoacyl-tRNA synthetases). tRNAs cope with the degeneracy of the genetic code in two manners: having more than one tRNA (with a specific anti-codon) for a particular amino acid; and 'wobble' base-pairing, i.e. permitting non-standard base-pairing at the 3rd anti-codon position.
Source: RNAcentral
GCCGAAGUGGCGGAAUGGCAGACGCGCCGCACUCAAAAUGCGGUGGGCAUCGCCCGUGUGGGUUCGAGUCCCACCUUCGGUACCA